GGACGAACGCUGGCGGCGUGCCUAAUACAUGCAAGUCGAGCGGACUUGAAGGAGUGCUUGCACUCCUGAGAGUUAGCGGCGGACGGGUGAGUAACACGUAGGCAACCUGCCCUCGAGACUGGGAUAACUACCGGAAACGGUAGCUAAUACCGGAUAAUUUAUUUCACAGCAUUGUGGAAUAAUGAAAGACGGAGCAAUCUGUCACUUGGGGAUGGGCCUGCGGCGCAUUAGCUAGUUGGUGGGGUAAUGGCUCACCAAGGCGACGAUGCGUAGCCGACCUGAGAGGGUGAACGGCCACACUGGGACUGAGACACGGCCCAGACUCCUACGGGAGGCAGCAGUAGGGAAUCUUCCGCAAUGGGCGAAAGCCUGACGGAGCAACGCCGCGUGAGUGAUGAAGG
Molecule: ribosomal RNA, 401 nt
Filed under: Paenibacillaceae bacterium Ellin7254
Lineage: Bacteria; Bacillati; Bacillota; Bacilli; Caryophanales; Paenibacillaceae
Description: bacterial SSU rRNA
Rfam family: Bacterial small subunit ribosomal RNA
Source: RNAcentral